RNAcentral lists this ribosomal RNA (743 nucleotides) under uncultured Streptococcus sp. RNAcentral describes it as "bacterial SSU rRNA". It matches the Rfam family "Bacterial small subunit ribosomal RNA", at positions 28 to 756 of the family's 1533-position model. The record is from RNAcentral. Lineage: Bacteria; Bacillati; Bacillota; Bacilli; Lactobacillales; Streptococcaceae.
GAUGAACGCUGGCGGCGUGCCUAAUACAUGCAAGUAGAACGCUGAAGGAAGUGCUUGCACUUCUGGACGAGCUGCGAACGGGUGAGCAACGCGUAGGUAACCUGCCUGGUAGCGGGGGAUAACUAUUGGAAACGAUAGCUAAUACCGCAUAACAAUGGAUAUUGCAUGAUAUCUAUUUGAAAGAUGCAAUUGCAUCACUACCAGAUGGACCUGCGUUGUAUUAGCUAGUAGGUGAGGUAAAGGCUCACCUAGGCGACGAUACAUAGCCGACCUGAGAGGGUGAACGGCCACACUGGGACUGAGACACGGCCCAGACUCCUACGGGAGGCAGCAGUAGGGAAUCUUCGGCAAUGGGGGCAACCCUGACCGAGCAACGCCGCGUGAGUGAAGAAGGUUUUCGGAUCGUAAAGCUCUGUUGUAAGAGAAGAACGGGUAUGAGAGUGGAAAGUUCAUACUGUGACGGUAUCUUACCAGAAAGGGACGGCUAACUACGUGCCAGCAGCCGCGGUAAUACGUAGGUCCCGAGCGUUAUCCGGAUUUAUUGGGCGUAAAGCGAGCGCAGGCGGUUAGAUAAGUCUGAAGUUAAAGGCUGUGGCUUAACCAUAGUAUGCUUUGGAAACUGUUUGACUUGAGUACAGAAGGGGAGAGUGGAAUUCCAUGUGUAGCGGUGGAAUGCGUAGAUAUAUGGAGGAACACCGGUGGCGAAAGCGGCUCUCUGGUCUGCAACUGACGCUGAGGCUCGA